Molecule: ribosomal RNA, 464 nt
Filed under: uncultured fungus
Lineage: Eukaryota; Fungi
Description: eukaryotic LSU rRNA
Rfam family: 5.8S ribosomal RNA (bases 51-204)
Source: RNAcentral
CAAUUUAGUUGUCUGAGAAGGCCAUGUGCCAUAAAAUUUAAAUACUUCAAAACUUUCAACAACGGAUCUCUUGGCUCUCGCAUCGAUGAAGAACGCAGCGAAAUGCGAUAAGUAAUGUGAAUUGCAGAAUUCAGUGAAUCAUCGAAUCUUUGAACGCACAUUGCGCCCUUUGGUAUUCCUAAGGGCAUGCCUGUUCGAGCGUCACUAAAACCCAUCUCACACAUAAUGUGGUAUUGGUAGAAGUGGAUAGUAUUAGCACUACUUAGUCUUACUCUACUGAAAUAAAUAGGCCAGAUAAAUUGGACCAUGGUAAUAGAUUCCAGGAGUAUUUUAAAAUACUAAACUAGUCUUAACCAAGUCAUGUUCUGAGCUACUGGACCCCCCAUUUAGUCCAAACUAGAGAGGUUGACCUCGGAUCAGGUAGGGAUACCCGCUGAACUUAAGCAUAUCAAUAAGCGGGGGAA